GAUGAACGCUGGCGGCGUGCCUAAUACAUGCAAGUCGAGCGAACAGACGAGGAGCUUGCUCCUCUGACGUUAGCGGCGGACGGGUGAGUAACACGUGGAUAACCUACCUAUAAGACUGGGAUAAAUUCGGGAAACCGGAGCUAAUACCGGAUAAUAUAUUGAACCGCAUGGUUCAAUAGUGAAAGACGGUUUUGCUAUCACUUAUAGAUGGAUCCGCGCCGCAUUAGCUAGUUGGUAAGGUAACGGCUUACCAAGGCAACGAUGCGUAGCCGACCUGAGAGGGUGAUCGGCCACACUGGAACUGAGACACGGUCCAGACUCCUACGGGAGGCAGCAGUAGGGAAUCUUCCGCAAUGGGCGAAAGCCUGACGGAGCAACGCCGCGUGAGUGUUGAAGGUCUUCGGAUCGUAAAACUCUGUUAUUAGGGAAGAACAAAUGUGUAAGUAACUAUGCACGUCUUGACGGUACCUAAUCAGAAAGCCACGGCUAACUACGUG
This 497-nucleotide ribosomal RNA is filed under the name uncultured bacterium. RNAcentral describes it as "partial 16S ribosomal RNA". It matches the Rfam family "Bacterial small subunit ribosomal RNA", at positions 28 to 507 of the family's 1533-position model. The record is from RNAcentral.